This 78-nucleotide transfer RNA is filed under the name Uromastyx dispar. Its description in RNAcentral is "tRNA-His". The record is from RNAcentral. Lineage: Eukaryota; Metazoa; Chordata; Lepidosauria; Squamata; Agamidae.
GAUCAUGGUAGUUUUAAACCCAAACCGCUAGGCCGUGGCCCUAGCAAUAGAAGACCCGCCUACACCUUCUCCAUGACC